UUUUUGUGUGUAAUUUAAUUACAUAAGUACUCGUCAAGUUUCAGGAGAAAACGAGUUAGAAUAGAGAAGUUACGUGAUAAUACUAAUCACUUAAAGUGAAGAGUAACUUCGGUUUUCCGGAGAUGCUGAUGAGUAGAGUUGGCUUCGGGCGCGUAUCGGACUCCGUUCGUAGCGAUCCAAUAGCUCGUUUUGAACGGUUCAGCUAUUCUGGAACUAAUGGCGCUGACGGAUUUUAGAUCUGAUG
This 244-nucleotide long non-coding RNA is filed under the name Ananas comosus (pineapple). RNAcentral's name for it is "long non-coding RNA (ACOM_LNC034987)". The record is from RNAcentral. Lineage: Eukaryota; Viridiplantae; Streptophyta; Magnoliopsida; Poales; Bromeliaceae.